RNAcentral lists this ribosomal RNA (421 nucleotides) under uncultured bacterium. RNAcentral describes it as "partial 16S ribosomal RNA". The record is from RNAcentral.
ACGGCCAGGACUACAGGGGUAUCUAAUCCCUUUCGCUCCCCUGGCUUUCGUCCAUGAGCGUCAGUAAUGGCCCAGCAGAGCGCCUUCGCCACUGGUGUUCUUCCCGAUAUCUACGCAUUUCACCGCUACACCGGGAAUUCCCUCUGCCCCUACCAUACUCAAGCCUUUCAGUUUCCACUGCCAUGAUGGAGUUAAGCUCCACGCUUUAACAGCAGACUUGAAAAGCCGCCUGCGGACGCUUUACGCCCAAUAAUUCCGGAUAACGCUUGCCACUCCCGUAUUACCGCGGCUGCUGGCACGGAAUUAGCCGUGGCUUAUCCCUCAAGUACCGUCAUAUCUUCUUCCUUGAGAAAAGAGGUUUACAGCCCAGAGGCCUUCGUCCCUCACGCGGCGUUGCUCCGUCAGGCUUUCGCCCAUUGCG